CGGGCACACCUGCACUCUGCCUCGCUCAGCCGGCUGCUCAGGGUCGCCAUCUGGAUGCGGGAGUCAUCCUGGGCAGAAGGACUGAGGACGGCCUGGACGCUGACCCUCAGACCCAGGGACGCGCGGAUGGAUGGACAGCAGGUGUUCUUCCCAGAGACCCCCGGGGGGUGCCGCCGUGGGCGGGAGGACCCCAGCCCCCAUUACCCGCUCCCGCUGGGCUUCCCGGAGCUUCUGCACAAAGUCCUGCAGGACGUCCUG
This 258-nucleotide long non-coding RNA is filed under the name Pan troglodytes (chimpanzee). RNAcentral describes it as "long non-coding RNA NONPTRT011219". Lineage: Eukaryota; Metazoa; Chordata; Mammalia; Primates; Hominidae. The record is from RNAcentral.